RNAcentral lists this transfer RNA (21 nucleotides) under Tadorna tadorna (common shelduck). Its description in RNAcentral is "partial tRNA-Phe". Lineage: Eukaryota; Metazoa; Chordata; Aves; Anseriformes; Anatidae. RNAcentral also lists the same sequence under 1 other name. The record is from RNAcentral.
GUCCACAUAGCUUACACUAAA